Molecule: ribosomal RNA, 476 nt
Filed under: Scaphoideus titanus
Lineage: Eukaryota; Metazoa; Arthropoda; Insecta; Hemiptera; Cicadellidae
Description: partial large subunit ribosomal RNA
Source: RNAcentral
CGCCUGUUUAACAAAAACAUUUCUUUUUGGUUGAAUGAAAAGUAUCUUCUGCCCUAUGAAUAUUUUAAAUGGCUGCAGUAUUUUGACUGUGCAAAGGUAGCAUAAUAAUUAGUUUCCUAAUUAGAAGCUUGAAUGAAUGGAUGUAUGAGAUUUAUGCUUUAUUUAUUUAACAAUAAGAAGUUAAAUUUUAAGUUAAAAUGCUUAAUUAAUUUGCUGGGACGAUAAGACCCUAUAGAAUUUGAAUUAAGUUAAUUUAAGAUAUUUUAUAUGAUUUUUUUACUUUUAUUUAUUUUUUGCUGGGGUGGCAGUUAAAUUUUAACUUUAAUUAUUUACUUCAUUAUUCAUGUAUAUUUGAUCCUUUUGGAAGUAAGACAAAAUUACCUUAGGGAUAACAGCGUAAUUUUAAUGGGGAGUUCAUAUCUAUAUUUAUUUUUGCGACCUCGAUGUUGAAUUAAGAAAAUUUUCAAGAAGCAGGU